GUCUACGGCCAUACCACCCUGAACGCGCCCGAUCUCGUCUGAUCUCGGAAGCUAAGCAGGGUCGAGCCUGGUUAGUACUUGGAUGGGAGAGAGAGAGACAGAGACAGAGACA
Molecule: ribosomal RNA, 112 nt
Filed under: Panthera pardus (leopard)
Lineage: Eukaryota; Metazoa; Chordata; Mammalia; Carnivora; Felidae
Source: RNAcentral